CUUUUCUUAAUAUUUUUAAAAUUCAUUCAAACAAGGUUUCCCACCUCCCAUGCAGGCAGAAAGCUGUGUCAAUCAUUGUGAGGGGCCUUUCUCUCUCCCUGGGGUUGUAGGACAACCUAGGGAACUUGUGCAGCACCCCAAAAGAUUAAGUUGGCAGAUUCCAAGUAUGGAGGGGCUCCCUGCCCACGAGGUACAGCUGUCUGUCUCCCUGCCUGGAGACUCCUGCAAACUCCCUUCAUUCUGUGUUGUUCAGCCUUUACUCUGCUACUUUCCUCCAUGGUGGAACUGAAUGACUUAUCAAGAAUAGCUUGGCAGUCCACGCUGUCUAUCUUUGCAGGGGUCCUGGCUCUCCUGCAAAGAAUUAAAAAUGUCUUUCACUUCUUUAGGGAAAGUCUGUGGUCUUGAAAAAGAAAUCAAACCAUUUCCUAAUCAGUCUCUUUGUCUAUUAUAAAUAAUAGAAAGAUGUGCCUGCUGUUAUAUGCAGCUUACCAUAUGAGCCUGGGUAUUUAAUAUUCAUUU
Molecule: long non-coding RNA, 519 nt
Filed under: Bos taurus (domestic cattle)
Lineage: Eukaryota; Metazoa; Chordata; Mammalia; Artiodactyla; Bovidae
Description: long non-coding RNA NONBTAT017351
Source: RNAcentral